UACGAAGGGGACUAGCGUUGUUCGGAAUCACUGGGCGUAAAGCGCACGUAGGCGGAUUUGUAAGUCAGGGGUGAAAUCCCGGGGCUCAACCUCGGAACUGCCUUUGAUACUGCGAAUCUUGAGUCCGAUAGAGGUGAGUGGAAUUCCUAGUGUAGAGGUGAAAUUCGUAGAUAUUAGGAAGAACACCAGUGGCGAAGGCGGCCCACUGGAUCGGUACUGACGCUGAGGUGCGAAAGCGUGGGGAGCAAACAGG
This 253-nucleotide ribosomal RNA is filed under the name uncultured bacterium. RNAcentral describes it as "partial 16S ribosomal RNA". It matches the Rfam family "Bacterial small subunit ribosomal RNA", at positions 524 to 776 of the family's 1533-position model. The record is from RNAcentral.